Molecule: long non-coding RNA, 443 nt
Filed under: Anser brachyrhynchus (Pink-footed goose)
Lineage: Eukaryota; Metazoa; Chordata; Aves; Anseriformes; Anatidae
Description: lncRNA (ENSABRG00000009296.1)
Source: RNAcentral
CAGCCCGUCUGCAGCCUGCAGACACACGUGCCAUGUCACUACAGAGUCACACGGCUUUGGACCGAUCUAAUCAAAAAUAUGGGGAAAGGAGAGAGGCUGUGAUAAAUAUAACUUUGCAAAAGCCCAUUUAAUCAGGGAAGUCAAAGCCAGAUCCAGUGUCUCGGGGGAAGUUUUAUUGGAAGCAGGUUCUCUCUUUGCAAAAAGGAAGGUAAUAUAUAUUUGAGACUGCAUACUAAUGCUAAAGAAUUUGUCAGGAGGAAAAAAAAAAAGGGGAAGGAGGGAAUGGUUCAGUAUCCCCACAGAAAAUUAUCUAGAUUGGGGAAAUAUGAACUGACCUAGUUUUCAAAUUUCUUUUUUAAGCAGAAAGAAGUAAACCUUGUUCCUAAUGUUUCUGAACAAACAUAGAAGCUUUGAAAGGCACACCAAAAUUCAAUAAACCUAAA